This 528-nucleotide ribosomal RNA is filed under the name uncultured bacterium. RNAcentral describes it as "partial 16S ribosomal RNA". It matches the Rfam family "Bacterial small subunit ribosomal RNA", at positions 355 to 900 of the family's 1533-position model. The record is from RNAcentral.
UGGGGAAUAUUGCACAAUGGGCGAAAGCCUGAUGCAGCAACGCCGCGUGAGUGAUGAAGGUCUUCGGAUUGUAAAGCUCUGUCUUUUGGGACGAUAAUGACGGUACCAAAGGAGGAAGCCACGGCUAACUACGUGCCAGCAGCCGCGGUAAUACGUAGGUGGCGAGCGUUGUCGGAUUUACUGGGCGUAAAGGGUGCGUAGGCGGAUGUUUAAGUGAGAUGUGAAAUACCCGGGCUUAACUUGGGUGCUGCAUUUCAAACUGGAUAUCUAGAGUGCAGGAGAGGAGAAUGGAAUUCCUAGUGUAGCGGUGAAAUGCGUAGAGAUUAGGAAGAACACCAGUGGCGAAGGCGAUUCUCUGGACUGUAACUGACGCUGAGGCACGAAAGCGUGGGUAGCAAACAGGAUUAGAUACCCUGGUAGUCCACGCCGUAAACGAUGAGUACUAGGUGUAGGAGGUAUCGACCCCUUCUGUGCCGCAGUAAACACAUUAAGUACUCCGCCUGGGAAGUACGAUCGCAAGAUUAAAAC